RNAcentral lists this ribosomal RNA (253 nucleotides) under uncultured bacterium. RNAcentral describes it as "partial 16S ribosomal RNA". It matches the Rfam family "Bacterial small subunit ribosomal RNA", at positions 524 to 776 of the family's 1533-position model. The record is from RNAcentral.
GACGUAGGGCGCAAGCGUUGUUCGGAUUCAUUGGGCGUAAAGGGUGCGUAGGCGGCGCGGUAAGUCGGGUGUGAAAUCUUGGAGCUUAACUCCGAAACUGCAUUCGAUACUGCCGUGCUUGAGGACUGGAGAGGAGACUGGAAUUUACGGUGUAGCGGUGAAAUGCGUAGAUAUCGUAAGGAAGACCAGUGGCGAAGGCGGGUCUCUGGACAGUUCCUGACGCUGAGGCACGAAGGCCAGGGGAGCAAACGGG